This 379-nucleotide unclassified non-coding RNA is filed under the name uncultured Microbacteriaceae bacterium. RNAcentral describes it as "contains 16S-23S intergenic spacer region". Lineage: Bacteria; Bacillati; Actinomycetota; Actinomycetes; Micrococcales; Microbacteriaceae. The record is from RNAcentral.
UCCGAGUUGACCCCGGCAGUAUCCCCUGAGUUCCCACCAUUACGUGCUGGCAACAGAGAACGAGGGUUGCGCUCGUUGCGGGACUUAACCCAACAUCUCACGACACGAGCUGACGACAACCAUGCACCACCUGUAUACGAGUGUCCAAAGAGUUCCGUAUCUCUACGGCGUUCUCGAAUAUGUCAAGCCUUGGUAAGGUUCUUCGCGUUGCAUCGAAUUAAUCCGCAUGCUCCGCCGCUUGUGCGGGUCCCCGUCAAUUCCUUUGAGUUUUAGCCUUGCGGCCGUACUCCCCAGGCGGGGAACUUAAUGCGUUAGCUGCGUCACGGAGACCGUGGAAAGGCCCCCACAACUAGUUCCCAACGUUUACGGGGUGGACUAC